Molecule: long non-coding RNA, 913 nt
Organism: Diorhabda sublineata
Lineage: Eukaryota; Metazoa; Arthropoda; Insecta; Coleoptera; Chrysomelidae
Exons: 2
Source: RefSeq, a predicted model, not a curated record
ACUUUGAAUCACUAUUAGAUGAAUUAUCACACUCAGCAAACGAAUUCACUUCUGAAGAUAAACUUGAUCUCUGAAGACGACAAUUUGGUUAUCGAAACACAGGUCAGAGUGUCAUUGUGAGUGUUGUUGAAGUGGUAACAUUAAACAGUUCUUUAUUGUACUGCAUUAUAUGAUUUAGAUAAGCAUUUUCGGUUAUAUUAAACAGCGAUCUAAUAAAAAUGUUAGCUUCUAUCAGCCACUUCAUGAUUGGAUCGAGAACCGAGUCAAGUCAACGAAAGUCUAUUAUAAAAUCGACACAAACUAGAGUGCUCUUCACGUCACCCUACUGUUCAAUUACUUGUUUUCUAUCACCUUUCGUGAAAGGCGUUUCUAGAAAAUCUGCCGUUUGCACCAUUAUACUAAUCCAUUAGAAUACGAAUAUAAAAAUACGAUAUUUUCGAAUGAGUUAUUUGAAAAUCGUUCUUUCCUCAUUUCACACACAUUGCAGUAGUAUAUCGUGAACUUUCUAAUAUAUAGUUCUAAUAGUUUUGGCAAAAACUAUUUAAUCAUAUAAUUUUGUGAAAAAUAUAUUCAAUGAAUUUUUUAUAAUUUGCUACAAUUAACGGCUUAGUAACUAGCAAAGUUCGUAACUCGAACUAAAUGCUGAAACCCGUGAUUGUUCCUAAUUUUCAGUUUCUAUUAUAAACUUGGAGAGAUUAAAGUGACCAAAAAUCCUCAAUUAAACGGACCUGAGGUAAAUUGAAGGGGGUAUCUUGAUUUCGUACACAAGGUAUAUUAUUUUUAUGUAGCCUUUGCAUAAUGGAAGGAUUUUCAAACUCCUAAAUUUUCUACCAAAACGAUUGUGACAUUCGUUAGUUGUAUUUUGCUGAGACAACCAAUUUACUUCAAUGUUAAUAAAGUUUUUAUGAAAUUA